UCCGGGGUCGUCUAACUGGCAGGACAUGGGACUUUGGCUCCCAGAAUCGUGGUUCGAAUCCACGCCCCGGAACCA
RNAcentral lists this transfer RNA (75 nucleotides) under Thermodesulfobacterium geofontis OPF15. RNAcentral's name for it is "tRNA-Gln (TTG) (tRNA-Gln-TTG-1-1)". It matches the Rfam family "tRNA". Rfam says of the family: Transfer RNA (tRNA) molecules are approximately 80 nucleotides in length. Their secondary structure includes four short double-helical elements and three loops (D, anti-codon, and T loops). Further hydrogen bonds mediate the characteristic L-shaped molecular structure. tRNAs have two regions of fundamental functional importance: the anti-codon, which is responsible for specific mRNA codon recognition, and the 3' end, to which the tRNAs corresponding amino acid is attached (by aminoacyl-tRNA synthetases). tRNAs cope with the degeneracy of the genetic code in two manners: having more than one tRNA (with a specific anti-codon) for a particular amino acid; and 'wobble' base-pairing, i.e. permitting non-standard base-pairing at the 3rd anti-codon position. RNAcentral also lists the same sequence under 3 other names. The record is from RNAcentral. Lineage: Bacteria; Pseudomonadati; Thermodesulfobacteriota; Thermodesulfobacteria; Thermodesulfobacteriales; Thermodesulfobacteriaceae.